ACUAUUUUGGCAGAUAAGUGUGAUGGUUUUAGAAAUCAUUUAUAUAUAAUUUAAUUAUAUAAGUAGUA
Molecule: transfer RNA, 68 nt
Filed under: Zygaena loti macedonica
Lineage: Eukaryota; Metazoa; Arthropoda; Insecta; Lepidoptera; Zygaenidae
Description: transfer RNA-Leu (CUN)
Source: RNAcentral